This 303-nucleotide long non-coding RNA is filed under the name Daphnia pulex (common water flea). Its description in RNAcentral is "uncharacterized LOC124193673". The record is from RNAcentral. Lineage: Eukaryota; Metazoa; Arthropoda; Branchiopoda; Diplostraca; Daphniidae.
UCGGGUUUUAGAAGAAAAGUUACUGACUACAAUACCAUUGCAUCUAACGAAUUUGAAAAUAUUGAGCUAAGAGAAAAAAUUGAAGGUUUGGAGAAAGAAGAGCCGAUAGUUCUUGUCCGAGAGAUGAAGGAAACACUUGAGGGAAUGAAAAGUCUCGUUGGGAUCAUAUCAUCACCAGCAGUGCACAGUCAACUAAAUGUACAACCUCCAGGUUUUGGUGUUCCAUCGCAAUAUUUAAGUAGUCCAUCGUCAAGUUCUUGCCACAUCGGUGCAAAAUUGGUAAAACUAUGGGGAGAAGUUUUC